The sequence is a transfer RNA, 72 nucleotides long. It matches the Rfam family "tRNA". From Rfam's summary of the family: Transfer RNA (tRNA) molecules are approximately 80 nucleotides in length. The record is from Rfam.
UCCUUUGUGGUGUAGUCGGUAACACUUUAGUCUUUCACACUGACACCCCGGGUUCGAUUCCCGGCAAGGGAG